UGCAAGUCGAACGAGAAACCUGGCUUCGGCCAGGCGGAAAGUGGCGGACGGGUGAGUAACACGUGGGAAUUUGCCCUGGGGUACGGAACAACUCAUGGAAACGUGAGCUAAUACCGUAUACGCUCUUAUUUCUUGGCGAAGUAAGAGGAAAGAUUUAUCGCCCCUGGAUGAGCCCGCGUAGGAUUAGCUAGUUGGUGAGGUAAUGGCUCACCAAGGCUACAAUCCUUAGCUGGUUUGAGAGGAUGAUCGGCCACACUGGGACUGAGACACGGCCCAGACUCCUACGGGAGGCAGCAGUGGGGAAUAUUGGACAAUGGGGGCAACCCUGAUCCAGCAAUGCCGCGUGAGUGAAGAAGGCCUUAGGGUUGUAAAACUCUUUCAGUGGGGAAGAUAAUGACGGUACCCACAGAAGAAGCUCCGGCUAACUCCGUGCCAGCAGCCGCGGUAAUACGGAGGGAGCUAGCGUUGUUCGGAAUUACUGGGCGUAAAGCGUACGUAGGCGGAUUGGCAAGUUGGCGGUGAAAGCCCGGGGCUUAACCCCGGAACUGCCCCCAAAACUACUGAUCUAGAGACCGGGAGAGGUGAGCGGAAUUCCUAGUGUAGAGGUGAAAUUCGUAGAUAUUAGGAAGAACACCAGUGGCGAAGGCGGCUUACUGGACCGGAACUGA
Molecule: ribosomal RNA, 668 nt
Filed under: uncultured bacterium
Lineage: Bacteria
Description: bacterial SSU rRNA
Rfam family: Bacterial small subunit ribosomal RNA
Source: RNAcentral